RNAcentral lists this long non-coding RNA (42118 nucleotides) under Solanum lycopersicum (tomato). Its description in RNAcentral is "long non-coding RNA (SLYC_LNC000392)". The record is from RNAcentral. Lineage: Eukaryota; Viridiplantae; Streptophyta; Magnoliopsida; Solanales; Solanaceae.
UUUCACCGAGUCCCGGGCCGAGUAAUGUUCGUGCUGAGUUUCUUGCAUAUGUCACCGAUUCCCUCACUAGAGGGCCGGGUAUGUAUAUUAUAUAUAUGAUUGGUGAUGAGGAUGGUUAUGAUGAUGAUGAUGACGGAGAUGAUGUGAUGACUAUUUCACCGAGUCCCUCACUAGAGGGCCGGGUACGUAUGAUGUAUAUAUAUAAUGAUUAUUUUGCCGAGUCCCUUACUAGGGACGCCGGGCACCUUAUAUGUUAAAGAUAUGCAUGAUUUUCACUUAAAAGGUACAUGUGUAGUGAUAUCUUGUUUCGACUUAUCAUGUUGGUAUCCUGUCAUCUUUACCUUAUGCUUUACAUACUUAGUACAUUCCCCGUACUGACCCCCUUUCCUCGGGGGGCUGCGUUUCAUGCCCGCAGGUGUAGACGCACAGUUCGAUGAUCCUCCCGCCUAGGAUAUCUUCUCUGCUGAUUGGGCGAGCUCCAUUGUUCCGGAGCCCAGUCGUUUUGGUACAUAACUUUCUGUGUAGUCUUUUGCUUGUCUAUGGGUAUGGCGGGACCCAGUCCCGUCGAGUUUCACUGCUAUACUCUUAGAGGUCUGUAGACAUUAUGUGGGUUGCAUAUAUAUGUUUUGGAGAAUGUUCUGGACAUGGUUUGUUUUGGAUGUCCGCUUGUAUAGGGCCAGCCUUGUCGGCUGCAUACAUCAUUGUGUAUUGUGUAGUGGCAGCCUUGUCGACUUGCGUAUGCUAUUAUGCUUUGGAUAGUGGCGGCCUUGUCGGCUCGCGUAUGUUGUUACGGUUGAAUGGUUAUGACUCCUUAUGAGACAGAUCCACUUUAUAUAUAUAUGACGUUAGGGUUGGCUUGAUUUGAUUAAAUUCCAUAUUAUCUUAGUUUCAGUUGGUUAUACUUAACAGAUUUGUAUGUGAGUGUCCAAAACAGGCACUAGUCACGGCCCAUCGGGUUGGGUCGUGACAGGAUCAGCAUAACUAACUCACUUUUAUCGCAAUAUCACGGUGAACAAUUGGAAUGCAAAAGCAAUGUGUGCAAGGUGCUUGAUGAAUCGUCUGAUAUGCACAAACAUGCAAAUUCUCUCGGUAAAUCCAGCAAGCCUGUUGAGCUUUUCAUUCCCCCCUAAUGAUAUGGUAAAUUCUGUCUCCAAAUUUUUUGUGAUACAUAGAUGUGCUGAUUAUGUUAAAAAGGAAGACACGAAGGAUGAUAAGAGGAAAUUUUUACCAUCAGAAACGAACCUAUAGAAUUUGUUAUUGAAAUACAUGUAAACCUUCAUUCUGGAAUAAUUUUAUAGUAUCUAUUUCCUAUGACCUAUCCAUUUUUGAUAUUCACAAAGCUUUGGAUGAUCUUUGGAAUAAAUUAUUCACUAUACACUACAAAAAAUUCUACCCUGUUUGGCUUAUUCAGCGUUGGAAGUAGAUCCAUUCUAUUCCUUCCACUUUCAGUUAUUCCAAGCUUACGGGCAAAGUUACUAAUGGUGGUCGGGACUAUGUUGGCUGCUUUAUCAUGUAUACUGAAUUUUCUAAAUGUGAUAGUUAUGAUCAUCUUUCAGGUUUCAAAGCAAUUUAGUUGAAAAGAGUAUAAUUUUACAUGUACAGGAUCCUGGUAUAUACAAACUGCUUCUGAAGUUGAAUCGUUUGAAUGGUAGCAAUUUUUUCCACAGCCAAACUCGAGACUUUUUAUGAAUGCAAAGCAAUUUAAGAGGUGUGUACUAACUGUGCAUAAACGAGAAUUAUUUCUUGAUGGUGGUGGAAUUGUUAAUUUGUUCCAGAUAUAUUGCAUCCAAGUGAAUCCUCAUAUAUUUGGAAUACAUGUAAAGAAAAUAUUGCUCUCUUCUCUCUCAUCUCACUCACCACUCUCAGAUAGAUAUGGUAUCUCAUUAUAUGUGAAUCACUCAAAAUACAUGCACAUAUAUGUAUCUAGUGUGAUUUACAUUGUCUCUGAGAUAGUUACAAGUCUUGCUCACCUAGUUCCCCAAUCUCUCCUCUCUCCUUUUUAUGUACCUUGUAGGAAAACGCAUGUAUCUUUGCAUAAGAUACGUAAACAAUUUUAAAUUAGUGGUAAGAUAAAUAAUAUUUUGGCAUUAUGGAUCAUUAUAAUAUUUAUAGUAGUGAAUUAUAUGUCUAAUUAUAUAGUUUUCGAAUAUUUUUAAAUAGCGUUGACCGUACAUUUUGAGAGUAGAUUUUCAAAAUUAACCUUCAAAUAUUCAUUGGACUAUAAAAUUUGACUAGAUUUUCAAAUUUUGGUUUUCAAAUAUUUUGAAGUUCCUAACACCAACUAAGAUUUGUUUUUGAAUUUUAGUAACUUCCAUUCACGAAACUCCAAGAAAUUUUGGGCAAGAAAUUUAUUUUUCUUCUAAUUACUUUAACUUUAUUGUUUACGAUUAUAAUAGCAUAUUAAAAAUUUUCUUAUUAUAUUGAAUGUUUGAAGAUUUUGAUAUAUAGAUUAUUUCAUUUCAAAUUGUGUUCUCACCUACUUUCCUCAAAUUGAUAAAGUCAUUAACAAAAUUAUAAUGUUAAUCUCUUUAAUUUAGAAUGUUUAUUUAGUUUUCUUUAUUAUGAUUAGUGCAAGACUAUAUUCAUUUAAAUAUCUAUAAAAUUAUGUUUUGUUACUUUAAUCUUAACAUAAUGAGAAGAUUUGUUUUCAUUUAUUGUAUUGCAAGAAAUUAAUUACAUCAUUGAGGAUGUUUUUUUAUAAAUAAGCAACACAUUUUUUGGACAACUCAUCUAUUACUAUAUCAUUUUAGAGUCAUGGUAGGGAAAAAGACCCUAGGACGCCAUAAGAUUUCGAUGGCCAAAAUAGAAAAUAAAUAUGAUUUAUACUCAUCAUUUUCAAAGUGUCUGGAAAUUUUAUACAAGAAAGAAACCAAUAUGAUUGGGAAAUAUGACAUUGAUGUGAGAAUAAUCGCAUUUUCCCCCUCUCAUAGUCCCUUCACUUUUUUCCAUCCUACAAUUGAUGCUAUUAUUGAUCGUUUCAUUAGUGCAUUUAACCAAGGAAGUUUAUAUAGUCGCCUUAACGUUGCAAGCACUCGAAUCAGAAACAAGUUUAGCUUGACAAUCUAGAUAUCACUAAAGAGACUUUAGCUAAUCAGAAAACAGACGAGACUGACAUAGAGGAAAUGUAGGAACAAAUAAAGGUAUUUAAUGCAGAGGAUUUGAAAAAAAUAUGAAGUCGAUUGGAUGAGAUUGAUUUAAUGCUGGAAAAUGUUAUUGCUUCUUUUCCACAAGCUCCUCAAGAAAAUUCUAAUUAAGUAUAUAAUGGUUCCUUAUACAUUUGAAGCUUCAUGCAAUGAAAUAAUUUUCUUUUCUAAAACGUUUUUAUUAUAAGUUUUAGUUUCAAUUUUUAUUAUCAAGUUGAUGGUGUUAUUUGAAUUAUUUAGCGGUGAUUUUCAUUUAUGAUGUAAAUUUAAUGAACCGAAAGACUUGAAUUUUUGUAUUGGUUAUGAGUUCAAUAUUUUUUAAUUAUCAUGGUAAGUUUUAGAAUUUUUAACAUAUGUCAAUGAUUUUGAAUAUAUUUAAUGAUACUAUCAUUGUGAAGACCUUAGAUCUUGGCUUUGAACUAAUAAAUGCAAAUUAGUUUUCAGGGUUUUAAUCUAAUCACACACAUAUGAUGUGUUUAGAAAUAAUUAAAAUUUAUUCUUACACGUUUGGGCUAUUUAGAUAUAUCUUUAACGGUUUUUAGGACAACAAUACAUUAAGAAAAUUAAAAAAUCGGAGCCAGAAGGUGAAAUUUAAUUCGAGCAAAUAGGGAGGUCCAUUUAUACUGAGUGUCGUAGAAGAUCUGUCAGGCUAAAGUGUAUCUAGUAGUUGAACUUUAGACUGAGCCAACUAAAGGGUAAAGUCACUUUUUCAAAAAAAAAUAGAACAUCUAAAUUUAAUUGUGAAAUCAAAAUUUUCAUGAUGGCUAAGCUUUCGUAAAUGAACAUUUUGGCCUAUUUUUUUAAAUGAUGAGUGAGUUUUACACCCAUUACUAACAAAUUUGACAAUUUUUUAUAUGUAUUUGUAACAUCUCGCAACUAAGAAGAACAACAAAAGAGUUUAAAAUCUGAAAAUAGUUACUAUUAAAUAUAUAAGGAAAUCUGAAAAUCUUUGAGUAAGCCAAAAAGUGAGUUUUUCACUUAUUUCAAACCACUAUAAGUCCUAACCGAAGAUGAUUUAGGUGUAAUUCCACAUAUGUUUGGAAUUAUGAAUUAUCAUUCCCAUGCCACUAAGUUUGCGCGAUUAGGAGUUCAUAUGAGUGAGUUAUGUCUUUUGGAAGUUGAGUUGUUGGAUAAAGCAAAGUCUAAUCCGGAUUUGGGAAGGAAAAAUUUGUCCUUUUCUUACCUAAUUAUAUAAAUUCGUUUAUAGUGAUUAAUUAGGGUAAAAUAAGACUUCAUUCACUUUAGAAAAAUUUAGAGUUUACGCAAGGGAUUGGAGAAACGAUAAAAGAGGAGAAAUCAAGAAAUUUCUAAUUCAUUCAAGCUUUGCGUGUGGAAUUUGUCGGGGGUGAUCCCUAUAAAGGUAUGCGAGAUCACAUAGUGUUGGGUUAGUUUACCCAUGUGCCAACCAUGUUUCAAUUCAAAGAAUUUAAGUUUUAGUAUGUUAAGAAAUUGAGUUCUUGAAGAACAUCGUUGAAAGUUUCGUUGAAUUCUUGUGGGUUGUUUAGUUGAAGUUUAUUGAGGUUUGAUUCAUAUUUUCGACUGUAGUUUUCUUGAAUUUAUCGUAUAUUUAGAGUACUAUUUAUCUUUAGUGUUUGGGGAAAGAACCAUGGAAGUUUAGAACGCCUUGAGAUGAAUAAUGAAGGAGAAAAGUCGGAGUCAAUAGGGAAAAAGGGUGAGGCAUCGCGCUAGUCGGUGUACCCCAAAGAAAUCUCUGUCUAUAGGGCUCUGGGGACGCGCCAGACAGAGCACCCCAACCAAUGCUAUGAAGAUUGAGGGCGAACUCCUCAUGCCUCUUAGAGUUUCGAGGAUGCUAGUUCUCCCCAUUCUUCUUCCAUCUUUUCGUACUAGGUUCCUCAGUGAUUUACCAAUGUUUCCUGGUUGAUUCAAACACUCUAAGGUACAUCUAAACAUAAUUAAAUUAUCUGUAAAUGUGAGAUCAUGAACUCUGAACCCAUAAUCCAAUUUAAGGAAAGUUAAUAUCAAAAUCAUGAGAAGUUAAGAUAAAGUCUAGAAGUUAAGGGCAAGUCAAAAUAAAGUUUAUAAAGUUUUCAAAAGUCUUUCACAAACGUUUUCACUUUGUUCUAAAGACUUAAAAUUCUGGUCGAGUAAAGAGUAAAGGUUGAAGUCAUUUCUUCAAAGAAGUAUAUGGGGACUAUGAUUUCCCAAAGAUUUUAAAAAUAUUUUUCUCAUUUGAGAAAGAAAGGUAACAUCGCUUCCGAAAGGUAACAUCGCCGAGCUUUUAAGCUAUGUUUUGAGUAAUUAUUUGUAACCAAAGAAAGAAGUUGUUUUAAAAAGAUAAGAUCUAAGUAUAUUAUUAGAAGCACCGAUAUGCUGAUGCGAGUUCAUAUCAACUCAAGUUUUCAUAAACCAUGUAGUCAUCAUAAGUAUUAAAGGGUUAUACUUUUUAGAUGAUCACUUAAGUUAAGCUAGUGAAUCAACUAAGUUAUGUAGUUUUGUAUGACGUCAUAGUAUUGAACAGUAUAGCGGGGUGAUGGUAACAAUCUUGAUCACCACUUAGGAUCAUAGAGGUGGUUGUCGGUUAGAGAAACUCCCACAGUAAUAAGUGCAUGGUUCCUCAAGAGAUUCUGCUUAGUUUGAAUGGGGUAUGAUACUUCAUUCAUGCAUUGCACAAGUAGACUUUGAGAGGGAGCAUCCUCUUUUUUUUAUUGCACUUGUUCUAAACUACUUUAUAAUGAAAUGAGUUCAAUUAGGUAUUGAGGAGUUGAGAAAGCCAAGAUAAGUGUUUCUUUCAGAAUCUUCUCAAUCUUAUGGUGUAUUUGGUAUUCUAACUCGCAUACUCGGUCAUUCAAUAUACUGAUGUCAAUUUACCUGGAUUGUCUAAUGAUGCAUACACAAGUAACUAGGAUUAGCACCUAGCACACCAUUGAUCCAAUGAGCAGCUUAGUGUCAGUUGGUGAGCCUUCUUGCAUUCCAGAGGAAUCCUUUUCAUUGUUUACAAUUUUAUUUUUGCAGUUGUUAGGAUGAUUGGGGGUUUUAUCCCGACAUCCAUCUCAGUUAUUCGAGGCUUCAUAGAUAGCUAGUUAUUAGACAUUUGUCUUUACAUUGUCAUUAAUAUGUACUAAUACUUGAGUUGUCAUUUAGCUAUAUUCAAUGUUUAUUUUUUUAAAAAAAGGUUUGAGUCUUAUGAUUAGUUAAGUAAGUCAGGCCAAAGGCUUGCUUAGGGCCAACAAUGGUUCUUGAGUGCCGGCAACGUCCCAGGUGUAGGCUUGGGGCGUGAACAACUUGAUAUUAGAACCUAGAGUUCAAGAGUCCUAGGGAGUGUAUGAAGUGGUAUUUGUAGAGUCCUAGUUAUCAGUGCGAAGCGCGUCACAUCUAUAAUUAGGAGGCUGCAACAGUUAGAAAUUCCUUCACUUCAUUCAUACUUAUUUCGUGUGUUGGAGUUUGACCUCUAAAAGGUUUCCUUCUAAUUUGUGCUUGCACGUGUUUUCAGAGAAUUAUUCCUCCACGAAGAGAAGUCAAAAAUCCUCCAACUAGGAAGAAUAAUGAGGAACAAGAAUCCCAAUACACCUGAAGUGCAACCUCAAUGAAAAGUUACCCAUGCUGAAUUUUGUGAGACUAUCUGAACGUUAUGUCAAGUUUCAACCUAUCAAAUUGGACAGAGAGAUAAUCGACAGGAAAUGGUUGAUACAUCAAAGAUUUGAGAGCUUUUAAGGAUGAAUCCCCCAAGCAUCACAGGUUCAAGUGUCACUGAGGAUCCAGAAAACUUUAUUUGGUGUAAUGCAAUUGUUGAAGCAGAGAGGGUGGAACUGGUUGCAUACCAAAUGAAGGGUGUCGCUGGAAUCUGGUUUGACCAAUGGAAAAAGAAUAGGGUGGAGAAUGCACCGGUAGCGAGUUGGGUUGUGUUUCAGAGUGCUUUCAUGGGGCGUUUAUUUCCUUGUGAGUUGCGAGAGGAAAAUAUAAAAGAGUUUCUCACCCUUAAUCCGGAGUCUGUGAGUGUUCAUGAAAACGGUCUAAAAUUCACAUAACUUUCACGCUAUGCUCCAGAGACGGUUUCUGACAUGAGGAGUAGGAUGAGUUUCUUUGUUCAUGGGUUGUCUUUUUAGUCAAGCAAGGAAGACAAGGCUGCUAUGCUGAUAGGGGAUAUUGACCUAGCAAGACUUAUUAUACAUGUACAACAAGUUGAGAAAGAUAAGCUGAAGGAUAGAGAAGACUUUAAGAAUAAGAGGGUCAAGACAUCAAAUAAUGAUUUUAGGCAACACAAGAGUAAAUACAACUCUCCUACGGAAACAGAAGGGACAUGCUCCACCAUUUGGUAGUGCACCUGCACUUAAGAACAAAGGUGAUUACAAUAGUCAGAAUCCCCAUAGUUUCAAAGCUAAACAUGCGUGUGCUAGGUGUGGUAGAAAACACCAAGGUAAGUGUUGUGAUGGGAAGACAUGUUGCUUCAAGUGUGGUAAAAAGGGUCACUUUAUGAGAGAGUGUCCCCAGAUCUUGCAAAGUCAUGGUAAUAAGGCCCAGCCUUCUUUAGUUGCUCCACAAGACAGAGUUGCAACUCAAGGAGCUGCUUCAGGUACUAGAGGGGAAACAAACCGAUUAUAUCCUAUCAAAAGUCAUCAAGAGAAAGAAAAUUUGCCAGAUGUUUUCACAGGUAUGAUCAAACUCUUUGACUUGCUGUUUAUGCUUUGUUAGACUCAGGGGAGAGCUUAUAUUUUGUUACUCCUUAAGUUGCUUUGAAUUUUGAUGUUAUUCCUGAGCAACUUAGUAAAUCAAUCAGUGUUAGUACACCUGUUAGUGAGUCUAUUCUAUUAGAGAGAGUCUAUCGUGAUUAUAUCAUUUCUGUCAAUCACAAGAAUACCAUGGCUGGUUUAGGUGAGUUAGACAUGGUAGGUUUUGAUGACAUUCUAGGUAUGGACUAGAUUCAUGGCUUUUACGUAGAUUGUAGAACUCGAGUUUGUUCCUUAAGCCAAGGAAGUUAAAGUUAGUUUCUAAGGGGAGUGUCUAUCAUUUACUCCAAGUUAAUGACUCUAGUGUUAAGAUACCUCUUAUUUAGUUAAUUCGAGUAGUAAAAUAGUUUCCAUAAGUCCUUUAAGAUGAUCUUCCCGGAGUCCCUCUUGAUAUACAAAAUAGACUUCGGCAGGGUUGAAAGAGCUUAAAGAACAGCUGAAAGAUAUGUUAGAUAAGGGUUUCAUUCGACCAAGAGUCUCACUUUAGGGCGCUACAAUCUUGUUUGUGACAAAUAAAGAAUAAGUAUCCUCUUUAUCAAAUUGAUAAUACUUUCGAUCAGCUUCAGGGUGCUUCUUAUUGUUAUAAGAUUAACCUCAGAUGUGGCUACCAUCAGUUGAAAGAAAGGGAGUGUGAUAUUCCCAAGAUAACAUCUAGGACCCCUUAAGGUCAUUAUGAGUUUAUGGUCAUGCCAUUUGGUUUCACUAAUUCACUUGCAAUAUUUAUGAACCUUAUGAAUAGAGUCUGUAUACGUCAUUUAGAUAUGUUUGAUAUCAAUUUUAUCUAUGACAACUAAUCUAUUCAAGAAAUGAAGAAGAUCCUUCUAGUCAUCUCAAACUAGUCCUCCAGUCUUUGAAUGACGAGGAGGUAUAUGCUAAGUUCCCCAAAUGCGAGCUUGACUUGAUAUUAUGGCGUUCUUGGGUUACAUAGUUUCCGGUGAUGGAAUUAGAGUUGAUACCAAAAAGAUAGAACCAGUUCAAAGUUGGCCUAGACCCACAUGUUCAACUGCAAUAAGGAGUUUCUUAGGUUUGGCUAGAUUAAAUAGAAGGUUUGUAGAGGGGUUCUCCUAUAUUUCUUCCGUUUUGACCUAUUAACUCAGAAAAGAGUAAAAUAUCAAUGGUUUGAGGCUGGUGAGAAAAACUUUUAGGAAUUGAAAAACAGAUUGACACUUUCCCAAUUUGAUCUUACAAGAAGGUAAGCAAGGCUUUGUUGUCUAUUGUGUUGCGUCUAGAAUUGUUUGAGUUGUGCGUUAAUGUAGAAUGACAAAUUUAUAGCUUUUACCUCCAGGUAGUUGAAAUUUCAUGAGAAGAAUUACCCAAACCAUGAUCUAGAGUUUGAUGUUGCGGUAUUUGUUUUGGAAAUAUUGUGCCACUAUCUUUAUGGUAUUCAUGGAUAUAUAUUCACCGAUUAUAAGAGUCUUACGUGUUUACUUAGAAAGGGCUUAAUCACACACAAAGGAGGUGGCUAAAAUUACUCAAAGACUAUGACAUGAGUAUUCUUUAUCACCCAGGUAAAGCUAAUGUCGUUGUUGAUACUUUAAGUAAAUUCUCAAUGCUUGAAUGAAAGGCAACUGUUCAUAAUUAAAAAGUGAUGGCUUUUGAACCAGGGGGAGAUGCUGUUUUGAGGUAUGAAGAUAGAUUGUGUGAUUGAUUUUAAGGUUUAUUGGGAUAAUCACCUACCUCACAUGGAUUUUUUUACAACAAUAGUUACCAUUCUAAUAUCCAAAUGGAUCCUUAUGAAGCUCAUUACGGGAGAAGAUGCAGAUUUGAUUUUUAAUGGUUCGAAUUUUGUGAAGUAGGGUUGAAAGGACCAGAGUUACUUAAUCAAGCUAUGGAGAAAAUGAAAUCCAUUCAAAAUAGAUUGGAACCAACAAAAACUCAUCACAAAUCCUACAUUGAUGUUAGGAGAAUGUAGUAACAGUUUGAGGUAGAUGAUUGAGUUACUUGAAAAGUUUCACCCAUGAAGGGUGUUAUAAGAUUUGAUAAGGAAGGGAAGAUCAGUGUACAAUAUAUUGGUCCUUCCAAAAUAUCCAAGAGGAUUGACAAUGUAGCUGGUAAGUUAGAGCUACCACAAGAAUUAGUUGUAGUCCAUCCGGUGUCUCACAUCUCCAUCUUGAAGGAGUGCAUGGGAGAUACUGUACUUAUCAUACCAAUUGAGAGGAUAUUGAUAUCACGGAUAGUUUGUCUUAUGAGGAGGUUCCGGUUCAGAACCUAGAUCGCCAAGUUCGGAAGUUGAGAAUAAAGCAAGUAGCAUCGAGUCAAAGUUCUGUGGAGAAAUUAGUUUGUAGAGAAGCUACUUGAAAAUAUGAAGAGGAUAGGAGAAGAGAUACCCUCAUCUCUUCUGAUCCGGCGAAGCUUCAAAUUAAAGGUACUAAUCCUUUUCUUGGCAUUAAUAUUAAGUUGGCUUCUUGAAAUUGCAUUGUGCUUGUUGAGUGUUUAAAUUGUAUAAUUGAUGUGACACCUUUAACCUUGUCACAACCCAACCCGAUGGGCCGUGACUAGUGCCCGUUUUGGACACCCAUAUACAAACCUGCUAAGUAUAACAAACUGAAACUAAGACAAUAUAGAAUUUAAUCAAAUCAAGCCAACCCCAACGUCGUAUAUAUAUAAGAGGACCUGUCUCAUAAGGAGUCAUAACCAUUCAACCAUAACAGCAUACGCGAGCUGACAAGGCCGCCACUAUUCCAAGCAUAAUAACAUACGUAAGCCGACAAGGCUGUCACUACACAAUACACAAUGAUGUACGCAGCCGAAAGGGCUGCCCUUGUACAAGCGGACAUCCCAAACAAACCAUGUCCACACCAUUAUCCAAAACAUAUAUAUACAACUCACAUAAUUUCCACAGACCUCUAAGAGUACAUUAGUGAAACUCGACGGGAAAGGGCCCCGCCAUACCCAUAGACGAGCAAAAGACUACACAAAAGUGAUGUACCAAAACGACUGGGCUCCGGAAUAGUGGAGCUCUCCCAAUCAGCAGAGUAGAUAUCCUAGGCGGGAGGAUCACCAAACUGUGCGUCUACACCUGUGGGCAUGAAACGCAGCCCCCCGAGGAAAGGGGGUCAGUACGGACAAUGUACUGAGAAUGUAAAGCAUAUGGUAAAGAUGACAGGAUACCAAUAUGGCAAGUCGAAACAAAAUAUCGCUACACAUGCACCCUUUUAAGUGAAAAUCAUGCAUAUCUUUAAAAUAUAAGGUGCCCAGCUUCCCUAGUAAGGGACUCGGCAAAAUAAUCAUCAUUUCAUCUCCGUCAUCAUCAUCAUCGUAACCAUCCUCAUCACCAAUCAUAUAUAUAAUAUACAUACCCGGCCCUCUAGUGAGGAACUCGGUGACAUAUGCAAGAAACUCCGUACGAACAUUACCCGGCCCGGGACUCGGUGAAAUGAUAAAUGACUCCAUGCACGAGCAGAAUAUUAUGAGCAACCAUAUGCAAUUAAAAUCAUUUCUUAUAACUCAAUAGAACAAUCAACAUGAACCAACAAGGAGUAUUACCAAAGAUUAAUGUUUUAUCAAGAUUAUGAACCUUUAAUACGAUAUGGAAAUGUAAAAUCUCAAUGACUCUAAGAAGCACUACCAUAGAUAUUAGAGAUCAUCAUAGCCUUAGACAUAGCCGAUAUAUAGAGGAAUAAUUGUGGAAGCAAGAAUAUACGUCACCUAGACGCUCUAGAGGUAAGUAUCAAACCUGUCCGUUAUUCUCUUAUUUUAAAAUGUCAUGCCAAACAAAGAAAGAAGGGACAACGUCACAUACCGUAUAAUCAAGCCGCACGUCCAAUAUUUACUACUCAAGCUAUUAAUCUAUAACAAGCAACAAUCGUGCCGCAAUUAGAUAAACAUCUAGCUUUACUUUCUUGUAAGCUAGCUAAUAAUCUAACGAAAAUUCGGCAGCACUUCCCCUAUUUUCCUUACUUCGUCCCAAUCCGACAACAACCCAAAUUAUCCACAGCAAUACCAAUAACACAUAUAACCCAACGAAUCAUAUUAAACAGCCCCCUCCCCAAAACAGUUCUGUCUCGGCAACCAUAGUAGCGAAGCAACGACACACCGAGCGAUAACUCAUUUUAUAAUUCGCAACACAUCUACCUUAUCGUAUUCAUCCUUUGGAGUAUAUACUCAUAAUCACAUUCAACAUAUACAUAAUGCCAAAACAGAAUUUUCCUUCAGUUUGCUUUAAUCAAAACAACCCAAGCACCAACAUGACACCACUAAUAAUCCAAUUCUGGUUUCCGUUCAUACCUAGCACAUUCAAUAACUAAAACAAACUUCCUAAGCUACUGGUCACGCCCCCUUCUUAAAAUUAAUGGAUAAUUAACAAAGGUAUUCUAAAGAAUUAACACACCAAACAAGGAGAUUACUAACCAAAUUAUUUGCAGCUGCUGGCCAAGAGUUGAAGGGUUGGUUUCUCCAUUUCCAUGGCUGCCUAAGAAAAGUGGUGAAGAAGAAGAUGAUAUGCAGCAAUGCAUUUCACCACUUUAUUUAGCAUGGAGUGGAUUUAUCCACCUCAUUUAAUAGUAUGAAGUGGAGGCAGCCCCCCUCUACACCUGUCUAUUAAGGCCAGCUCACAAUCUGAUCCCUUUUUAAUUUUUGCCUUGAGUGGUGGGUCCCACUUGAUUAAAUUAAUCCUAAUCAGCCACCAAUUAUGAGUGGUAGGCCCCAUUUGAUUAAAUCAAUCCAAAUUAGCCACUAAUUAGUCCCUCACUUAAAGUUAAUGACACUUACAUUAGCCAAUUCAUACUUAAUAUCACAUUUGGAAAUAACAUCCUUGCCUAAUAUUUCUUUAAUCACUUGGAACUUAAAAUAAAAUCUCAAUCCCCGGACUUACGUCUACUAGAUCACGAUGCGCACUACGUAUAUAAAAAAACGAGGCAUAACAAACCUAGUACGAAUAAUGUCAUUCGAGGAUGAAUGUUCCCAAGGGGGGAGAUAUUGUAACAUCUCAUAACUAGAAGAACUAGAAAAGAAUGUAAAAUUUGAAGAUAAAUACUUUUGGUAAGUAAAAGGAAAUCUAAAAAUCACCAAGUUAAAAAAAGUGAGUAUUUGGCCAACUUCAAACGAUCAUAACUCCUAGCCCAGGAAAAGUGUGGUGUAGUUCAAGAUAUGAUUGGAAAGCCUUUGGGAAUGAUUAUUACAAUUUCGUAAAGCUUGCACGAUUCCAAGUUCGUAUGAGUGAGUUAUAUCAUUUGGAAGUUCAGCAGUUGAAUUAAGGAAUAUCAAAUCCGGAUUAGGGAUGGGCAAAUUUGUUUUUCCUUACCUAAUUAUAUUAAUUCAUUCUUUAGGGAUUAGUUGGGGUAAAAUAUUACUUCAUUCAGUUCAGAUAUGGUAUCCCAAUACAUGUGAAUUUCUAAAGAUACAUACACAUAUAUCUGGUGUAUAUCUAGAGCGAUUCAAUGUGUCUGAGAUACAUACAAAUCUUGCUCUCCUCGUUUCCCAAUCUCACCUCUCUCCCUUAUUAUGUAUCUGAUAGCAAAAAUAAAUGUAUCGAAGCAUAAGAUACGUAAAUAAUUCUAUAUUAAUGGUAAGAUAGAUAAUAUAUUGGAAAUAUCGAUAAUAAUAAUAUUGAUAGUAAUUAUAUGUCUAAUUAUAUAGUUUUCUAAUAUUUUAAAAUAGUAUUGACCAUAUAUUCUGAGAGUAGAUUUUAAAAAUUCACCUUUAACUAAUUAUUUGAAUAUAAAAUUUGACCAGAUUUUCAGAUUUUGGACUUCAAAAUAAAUAGUAUUGACCAUAUAUUCUGAGAGUACAUUUUAAGAAUUCACCUUUAACUAAUUAUUUGAAUAUAAAAUUUGACCAGAUUUUCAAAUUUUGGACUUCAAAUAUUUUUGAGUUCCUAAAAAUAAGAUUUAUUUCUUGAUUUUAGAAACUUCCAUUCAAGUAGCUCCCAAAAGUUUAGGCAUGAAAUUUAUUUUUCUUCUAAUUAAUUUAACUUUUGUCGUCUACAAUUAUAGCAGCAUAUUAAAAGUUCUCAUAUUUUAUUGAAUGUUUGAAGAUUUUGAUAUAUAGAUAAUUUCAUUUCGAAUUGUGUUCUAACCUACUUUCUUCAAUGUGAUAAAGUUAUUAACCAAAUUAGAAUUUUUUUAAUGUCAUUUAUUUAGAAUUUUUAUUUAUUUUUUGUUAUUACGUAAGUGCAAGACUAUAUUCUUUUAAAUAUUUAUAUAAAUAUAUUUUGUUACUACAAUUUUAACAUACUGAGGAGAUUUGUUUUCAUUUAUUGUAUUGCGAGAAAUUAAUUACAACAUUGAAGAAUUCUUUUGUAUAAAUAAGCAUUAAUUUUUUUUGGAGAGCCUCAUCAAUUGACAUUAUUUAAAGUCAUGGCAGAAAAACAGACCCUAGGACGCCACAAGAUUUCAAUUGCAAAAAUUCAGAAUGAAGCAUAUUUAUGCUCAUCAUUUUUUAUGCUUCGGAAAAAUUUAUACAAGAAAAGAAGCGAUAUGAUUGGGAAAUAUGACAUUGAUAUGGGAAUAAUAAGAUUUUCCCUCUCAGAUAAACCCUUCUCUUUUUUUGCACCCGACAAUUGAUGCUGUUGUUGAUAGUUUGUUUUGUCCAUUUGACCGGGGAAGUGAAAAUAGUCGCCAUAAAAUUGCAUACACUCAGAUCAGAAUCAAGGAGAAUCAAGUUGAGCUUGACAAUCUCGAGAUGAUAAAAGAGACAUAAGCUAAUCAGACACUAGACGAGACUGACAUUAAAAAAAUGUGGGAACAAAUAAAGGUAUUUAAUGCAAAGGAUUUGAAAAAAUCUGAAAGUCGAUUGGAUUAUAAUUUGAUGUUGAAAAAUGUUGCUUCAUGCAAAUAAAUAAUUAGAUUUUUUUAAAAAAAAAUAUAUUUUCGUUUUAUGUUCUAGUUUCGAUGUUUAUUUUAAAGUUGAUGAUGUUAUAUGAAUUAUUUAGUUAUGAUUUAAAUUUAUGAUAUGAAUUUAGUGAACCCAAAGACUCAAAUUUUUUUUAUUAAUUAUGAUUUCAAUAUUUAAAUUUAUCAUGGUACGUUUUUACAAUUCUUAAAAUAUAUGUCAAUGAUUUUGAAUAUAUUUAAUUUUACUAUCACUAUGAGGACCUCAGAUCUUGGCUAUGACUACUAAAUGCAAAUUAGUUUUCUGGAUUUUAAUCUAACCACACUCAUAUAAUGUGUUCAAAAUUAAUUCAAAGUUAUUCUUACACGUUGGGGUAUUUAUAUAUAUCUUAAACGGCUUUAGGAAUAAUACAUUCUGAAAAAUAAAUAAUCAGAACUAGAAGGUGAAAUUAAUUCGAGCGGAUAGUGAUGUCCAUUUUCUCUCAGCAUCGUAGAAGAUCUCUUAGGUAAAAGAGACUCUAGUAGUUGAAUUAUAAAUUGAUUCAACUAAAGGUAAUGUCACUUUUUGAGAAAAAAUAAAAACUUUCAAUUUAGUGGUGAAAUCGAUAUUUUCAUGAUGGCUAAGCUUUCGUAAGUGACAAAAUCGACCAAUUUUCUCAAUGAUGAGCACAGUUUUACACCCAUUAUCAAUAAAUUUGACCAGCUUUGUUUUAUGUAUCUAUCACAAAUCAGUUGUUAAAAUAAUUGCGUAUGGAUUUUAGUAACACAAAAAUAUGCUGAUUAGGUUUUUAAUUAAAUAAUUUGAUUUGUCAAAAAAAAACUAGGACUAUUUUUUCGUUGUGUGCUGUUAUAUAUGAUAAAACUUCCAAAAAGAAGUUCAUUGGAUAAAUUUUUAUUACAUAAAUUCCACUAAUUUAAGAAUGAAUUACUUAAAUACAAUACAGUUUGGAAUAUUAUUUAUUUUACCAGAUUUUUGUGCAUAAAUGCUUCCAAAUACUGGUAUCUCAUAUACAUGGGAUCAAAUUUAAGUGUAAUUUGUUUAAGAUAUAUUAUAUCCAAGUGGAUCCACUUGUAUUUGUUAUACAUGUAUAACAAAUCUUGCUCUCUCCUUUCUCUCAUCUCACUCACAAUUCGAAGAUAGAUAUGGUAUCGUAAUACAUGUGAAUCAUUUAAGUUAUAUACACAUAUACGUAUCUAGUGAGUAUCUAGUGUGAUUUACAUAUGUCUAAGAUACAUACAAAUCUUGCUCGCCUCGUUCCACAAUCUCGCAUCUCUCCCUUUUUAUAUAUUUGAUAGCAAAAAUACAUGUAUUUAAGAAUAAGAUAUGUAAAUAAUUCUAAAUUAGUGGUAAAAUAGAUAAUUCUUUGGCAAUAUAGAAAUAAUAAUAAUAUUUAUAGCAGUGAAGUUUAUGUCUAAUUAUAUAGUUUUGUGAUAUUUUGAAAUAGCAUUGACCAUAUAUUUUGAGAAUAUAUUUAAGAAAUUCACAUUUAACUAUUAUUUAACUAUAAUAUUUGAUCAGAUUUUCAAAUUUUGUUCUUCAAAUAUUCUGAAAUUCCUAACACUAAUGUUUAUUGGAUUUUGGUAAUUUUCAUUCACGAAACUCCAAGAAAUUUUGGGCAAGAAAAUUAUUUUUUUCUAAUUACUUUAACUUUUGUCGUCACAAUUAUAGUACCAUAUUGAAAAUUUUCCUAUUAUAUUGAAUGUUGACGAUUUUUAUGUAUAGAUUAUUUCAUUUCAAAUUGUAUUCUCACAAACUUUCCUCAAUUUGAUGAAGUCAUUAACUAAAUAAGAAUAUUACUCUCUUUAGUUUAAUUUUUAUUAUUAUGGUAAGUGCAAGACUAUAUUCUUUUAAAUAUCUGUAUAAAUAUAUUUUGUUAUUAUAAUUUUAACAUAAUGAGGAGAUCUGUUUUCAUUAAUAUAUAGUAUUGCAAGAAAUUAAUUACGACAUUGAAGCAAUGUUUUUGUAUAAAUUAGUGUUGCAUUUUUUUGGAGAGUCUCAUCGAUUAACAUAUCCUUUUAGAGUCAUGAAAGAAAAAGAAGAUUUUGACGGCCAAAAUAGAAAAUGAAGAUGAUUUAUACGCAUCAUUUUUUCAAUGUAUUGUAAAACUUUAUACAAGAAAGGAAGCGAUAUGAUAGGGAAAUCACAUUGAUGUGGGAAUAAUAACAUUUUUCCAGUAUGAUAAUUCUUUCUUUUUUAUACCCUACAAAUGAUGUUGUUGUAGAUCGUUUCUUUAGUCUAUUUGACCAGGGAAGUGAAAAUAAUCGCUUUAACAUUGCAAACACUCUGAUCAGAAUCAAGAAGAACCAAGUUGAGCUUGACAAUCUCGAGAUCAUAGAAGAGACUUUGGUUAAACAGACAACAGAAAAUACUGACAUAGAAGAAAUCGGGGAAUAAAUAGUAGUAUUUUAAUUCAGAGGAGUUGAAAAAAUCUAAAAGUUGAUUGGAUGGGAUUGAUUUGAUGCUGAAUAAUGCUGCUCCUUCUUUUUCACAAGCUCCUCGAGAAAAUGCUAAUUAAGCAUACAAUGGUUCGUAUACAUUUGAAGCCUCAUGUGAUGAAAUAAUUAUUUUUUUUGUAAACAAUAAGUUUAAGUUUGGAUGUUUAUUAUAAAGCUGAUGGUGUUAUUUAAAUUAUUUAGUUGUGAUUUCAAUUUAUGAUAUGAAUUUAGUGAACCUAAAGACUCAAAUUUUUGUAAUUAUGAAUUCAAUAUUUAAAUGUCUCAUGGUACAUUUUAGAAUUUUUAACAUAUAUGUGAAUGAUUUUGAAUAUAUUUAAUGAUAUUAUCAUUGUAAAGACUUUAGAUCUUGGUUUUGGACUAAUAGAUGCAAAUUAGAUUUCAGGCUUUUAAUCUAAUCACACCCAUAUAAUGUGUUCAAAAUUAAUUUUUAAACUUAUAAAUUUAUUCUUACAAUUUUUGGCUAUUUAAAUAUAUCUUAAACGGUUUUUAGGAAAAAAUAGAUUUAAAAAAAUAAAUACUCGGAGCUAGAAGGUGAAAUUUAAUUCGAGCAGAUAGUGAGGUCCAUUUUCUCUCUAUAUCGUAGAAGAUCUGUCAAGUUAAAGUGUAGCUAGUAGUUGAACUACAGAUUGAUCCAACUAAAAGGUAAGCUCACUUUUUUGAGAAAAAAUAAAAACAUUUAAAUUUAGUAGUGAAAUUGAAAUUGUCAUGAUGGCUAAGCUUUCGUAAAUGACAAUUUUGGCCUAUUUUCUCUGUGAUGAGCGCAUUCUUACACCCAUCACAAACAAUUUUGUUCAUUUUUUAUAUGUAUUAUCACACACCAGUUGUUAAAAUAAUUGCAUAUAGAUUGUAUUAACACAAAUAUAUGCUGAUUAGGGUUUUAAUUCAAUAAUUUGCUUCGUCAAAAAAAAGAAGCAGCUAAGAUUAUCUUUUCGUUGUGUAAUGUUAUAUAUAAUAAAAGUUCAAAAAGGAAGUUCAUUGAAUAUUUUUUACAUAUAUUUCCACUAGUUUAAGAAUGAAUUACUUAAAUACAUUAUAGUUUGGAAUAUAAUUAUUUUACCUGAUUUUUGUUCAUUCAAAUACAUCCAUAUACUGAUAUCUCAUAUACAUGGGGUCAUAUUUACGUGUAAUUUGUUUUAUAUAUAUAUAUAUAUACAUUGUAUCCGAGUGGAUCUGACUGUAUUUGACAUACAUGUAUAGGAAAUCUUGCUCUCCUCUCUCUCAUCUCACUCUCCACUCUCAGAUAGAUGUGGUAUCCCAAUACAUGUAAUUCACUCAAGAUACAUACAUAUAUAUGUAUCUAGUGUGUAUCAAGUGUGAUUUACAUGUAUUUGAAAUACAUAUAAAUUGUACUCGCCUAGUUCCCCAAAUCUUGCCUCUCUCCCUUUUUAUGUAUCUGGUGGCAAAAAUACAUGUAUCUUAGCAUAAGAUACGGAAAUAAUUCUAAAUUAGUGGUAAUAUAGAUAAUAUUUUGGCAAUAUAGAUAAUUAUAAUAUUUAUAGCAUCGAAGUAUAUGUCUAAUUAUAUAGUUUUCUAAUAUUUUAAAAUAACAAUGACCAUAUAUUUUGAGCAUAGUUUUUCAAAAUUCAUCUAUAACUAUUUAUUAGACUAUAAAAUUUGACCAGAUUUUCAAAUUUUGGUCUUAAAUAUUUUGACGUUCCUAACACUAACUAAGAUUUGUUUUUGGAUUUUGGUUACUUCUAUUCAUGAAAAACCAAGAAAUUUUUUGUAUGAAAUCUUUUUUUCUUCUAAUUACUUUAACUUUUGUCGUGUACAAUUAUAGUAGAAUAUGAAAAUUUUUUCUAUUAUAUUGAAUGUAUGAAGAUUUUUAUAUAUAGGUUAUUUCAUUUCAAAUUGUGUUCUCACCUACUUUCCUCAAUUUGAUAAAUUCAUUAAUCAAAUUACAAUAUUAAUCUCUUUAAUUUAGAAUUAUUUAUUUAUUUAUUGUUAUUAUGGUAAGUGCAAGACGAUAUUUCUUUUAAAUAUUUAUAUGAAUAUAUUUUAUUAUUAUUAUUUUAACAUAAUGAGGAGAUUUGUUUUCGUUUAUAGUAUAGAAAUUAAUUACAACAUUGAAGAAUUCGUUGUAUUAAUAAGAAACACAUUUUUGGGAGAGCCUCAUCAAUAAACAUAUCAUUUUAGAGUCAUGACAGGAAAAAAGACUCUAGGCACCAGAAGCUUUCGAUGGCCAAAAUAAAAAAUGAAGAUUAUUUAUAUUCAUCAUUUUGAAAGUGUCUUGAAACACUAUCCAAGAAAGCAAGCGAUAUUAUUGGAAAUAUGACAUUGAUGUGAGAAUAAUAACAGUUCCCCCUAUGAUAAUCCGUUCUUUUUUUUACAUCCUACAAUUCAUGUUGGUGUUGAUCGUUUAUUUAGUCCAUCAAACCACAAAAGUGAAAAUAGUCGCCUUAACGUUGUGAAUACUCAUAUUAGAAACAAGUUGAGCUUUACAAUUUAGAGAUCAUAGAAGAGACUUUAGCAAAUCAGACAACAGACGAGACUGACUAGCACAAAUGUUGGAACAAAUAAAGGUAUUUAAUGCAGAAGAUAUGGAAAAAUCUGAGAGUCGUGGAUGAGAUUGAUUUGAAUCUUGAAAAUGCUACUGCUUCUUUUACACAAGCUCCUCAAGAAAUUGCUAAUUAAGCAUACAAUGAUUCCUAAUACAUUUGAAUCCUCGUGCCAUGAAAUAAUUAUGUUUUUUUAAAAUGUUUAUGUUUUGAGUUUUAGUUUUGAUUUUUAUUUUAAAGUUGAUAGUGUUAUUUUAAUUAUUUAGUUGUGAUUUCCAUUUAUGAUAUGAAUUUAGUGAACCCAAAGGCUUGAAUUUUGUAUUUAUUUUGAGUUAAAUAUUUAAAUUUCUCAUGGUACAUUUUAGAAUUUUUACCAAAUAUGCUAAUGAUUCUAAUUAAAUGUUAUUAUAUUGAAUAUAUUUAAUGAUACAAUCAUUCUGAAGACCUUAGAUCUUGGCUUUGGACUAAUAGAUGCAAAUUAGUUUAGAGAGUUUAAAUUUAAUCACACCUAUACAAUGUGUUCAAAAUUAAUUCAAAUUUAUUCUUACGGGUUUGGGUUGUUUAGAUAAAUCUAACAAUGGUUUUUAGGAAAAAAAUAACAUUUUUAAUAUAGUUAAUCAGAGCUAGAAGGUGAAAUUUAAUUAGAGCAGACAAUGAGUUCUAUUUUCUCCCAAUAUCGUAGAAGAUCAGUCAGGUCAAAGAGUCUCUAGUAUUUGAACUAUAGAUUGAGCCAACUAAAAGGUAAAGUCACUUUCGUAAAUGACAAAUUUGGCCUAUUCUCUUAUGGACGAGCGUAGUUUUACAACCAUUACUAACAAAUUUGACCAUUUUUUAAGAGUAGCAUUAUUUUAAGUAAUUCACCCUACCUUAGAUGUGAUGUUAUUCUCUUCUGUUUAUGAAAGUGCAUCUUAGCCCCUUGCUUCUUCUUCCAUGUGGAUUUUUCAUAAACAAGAUUUCAAGAGAAGUUUCCUUUUAUUUGUGGCACAUGGUUUUUUGAAAUUCAUUUCAAGAAGGUUGAAGUUUAUCUACUAUGCCACAAACAAUAAUGUUAUCUCCAAUUUUAACCUCUUCAAACCUAAGCUCUCAAACAAUCAUGAUAAAGUCUUGAGCUUGGUCUACCAGUGAUUUGUUGUCUACCAUUUGGAAACGAAAAAAUCAACUAGCCGCAUAUUUUUUCGCUCAAGCCUCUUUGGUAUCAUACUUAAUCUGCAAUGCCUUCCAAAUAUUCUUUGCACUAGAGUAAGUUCUAUCAUAAUAUUCAUAAAAAUUAUCAGAUAGACAAUUAAGAAGAUAAUACCGACACUUAUAGGAAUCACCAUCGUACUUUUCCACUUUCUCUAGAUAAAAAAAAUUAUUUCAUCAUCAUUCAUAGAGGUGAUGUCUUCUUUAUUUGGAUUCUUCUCGGUCAAUAAAUAAGAAACAUUGAGAAGAAUUAAGUAGAAAAGCAGUUUACCCUUUCAUCUCUUGAAAUGGUUACCAUUGAACCGAAAUGGCUUAUUAACGUCUCCCAUCUUGACAUCCGCGGUUUUUUUCAAUUGUAACCAUGUUAAAUCUCCUUAAUUGUUAGUGAAAACUUAAAAUAUAACAAAAAUACAAGAUUAAAUUGAAUAUGAAAUGAAGAAAUCAAAUCUUUUCAGGUUAACAUACGGAUAUUUCGCUCUCUUUAAGGAUAUUCAAGCCUACUGCAACAAAUGUUUCACAUGUACAACAGUAGUCCUCUUGGGCUUCUCCCUUUCAGGAUACAACGGCCUUUACAAAGUAUAACUCAACAACUACGGACAAGAUUUGAGUCCAAAGCUCCACAAAUAAAGCACCUCCCUUCAAUUAAUAAGAACUCUUUUUUAACUAACUCUUUUACUCUAUAUUUUUUUCUUCUGUUUUAUAGGUUACAAACCAAAUGAAGACCACCACUAUUUAUAGUAUAAGAAGUCUUCCUAACAAUGAAUAGGAAGAUAAUGUGGUAGUAAAUAGUGAAGAUACUGAUCUUAGGAGUUACAUAUGUUGCAAAGAAUAAUGGUAAAUAAUGUGAGUGCAUUAUGCAACUAACGGGCAGAAUGUGGAGUUUCACAAAGAUACAAUAAUGUGCACCAAAUGAAAAUGUCAGAAACGGCUUAAUAAAUAUAAAUAAACCUCAUAAUGCAUUCUUCCAAGGAUAAAAUAAAAUAAACCAACCUUUUUUCCAAAUAUAAAACAAAAUAGACCAAAAGAAAUUUCUUGAGGUUUGAUUCGUAUUUGAACGAGUGAUUUUGGAUUGAAUAUAUCGUAUAUUUAGAGUGCUAUUGAUCCUUAGUAUUUGGGGAAGGAUUUAUAUACAUUUACAGAGUUUUGAGAUUAAAAUUGAAGGAGAAAAGUUGGAGUCACCUAGAAAAAAGGAUGAUGCGUCGGGCCAGCCAGCGCGCCCCAAAGAAAUCUCUUUCUAUAGGGCUCUGGGGUGACGCGCCAGACUGAGCGCCCCAAACAGUCCUACGAAGUUUGAGGGCUGGCGCCCUGUGCUUUUCAGAACGCCAGGGAUGUCAGUUCUUCCCAUUCUCCCGUACUAGUUUCUUAGUGAUAUACCUAUGUUUCCUAGUUGAUUCAGACAAUCUAAGGUACAUCUACACAUCACGAAAUCAUCCAUAAACAUGAGAUCAUGAGCCUUGAAUCCAUUAUCCAAUUCAAGAAAGUUAAGAUCAAAGUCAAGAGAAGUUAAGAGUCUCAUAUACCACACUCAUUCAUUCAUUAGGAAUAGAUAUAGAAAUUUCUACUAGACACUCCACUCAACUUACGGAUGAUCAUAUUCAGAAGAGAUCAAUUGAGAAUAACAUUCAAUACACUCAACGUUCCUUAACAAUAGUGUAGAACUUCAUUCAUCAUUCAUUUAUUUUUCAUUCAUGAGUGUGUGUGAGGGAGUAACUUUUCACCUUAAAUGUCAUCAUUCUUAAAUGUUAAUCAAGAAUAUGACUCCACUCAUAACACCAUUGCAAUCUUGACAUAAUCAUAAAGUACAUGGAAGUAAACACAUCCACCAUAACUAGAUCAAACAUCAAUAAAUUAACAUUCUAUAUCAUUUAAAAUCAAUCUCAACCCAUAUAUCCAAGAUACUACAAGAGAUAAGACAAUUGACAUAUUUCCAUAACCAAUUCCACCAUCUGCAUAAGCAAUUCAACAUGAAUUCAUUCAUAAUUCCUUUAAAGGUCAUGAUCCUCACAUCAUCAAUACAUAAAUAAAUUCACCACAAUUAUAUAUAACUAAUGGCAUGAAUUCAUAAUCUAACUUCAUGUAAACACAUACUAUUCAUUAUAUUUCCAUAAUUAACCAAUUCUCAAUCAAUUUCCAAGAUAAAGAAGUUUGGAGAAAGUGUGGGUUCCUGAAGAAAUUCAAUAGAAACUCACAUUGAAAUCAUCAAUUAGACCACAUAUUAUCAUUAUAAUGAGUUUGAAAAUGUUUUCCAAUCAAACCCAAAUUAGAUUAGAAAGUAGUGUUUUGACUAUUGAUGAACUUUGAAAUGCAUUUUUAUUUGACUCCUUGAAUGAAAUAUUUAUCAAGGAUUACGGAUUACCAUCACUUAUACUUGAAGAAUCCCACAAAAUAGAAUUGAAAACUUGAAGAAAUUGACCUUGGAAACUUGAAAACCCCAACUCUAAAGGAGGUUCCUUCAGGGAGACUUUCAGAGAAGAAAGGUUUCUAAGUUUUUGAGUUUUGAAAAUAAUAAUGUGUAUAAUAGGUUUUAAACACUUGUAAUACUCUUUAAAUAUGUUAAUAUAACUAAAAUAACCGUCCAUGUACAUUAAAAUAUUUUACCAAUUCACCCUUCAGUUGGCCGAGCUAAAGACAAAUAUGUAGGUGAUAUCUACAGUUCCCCAUCCACGGACCAUGGAUGGGUUGAUUCCACGUACUGGUGUUCCAUUAUUUUUGUCACAGUCUGUUCCUUUGAGGCCUUGAUCCACGCCAAUGGUUAAUGAGUUGUAGAUCAAUCUACUGGUCAUGAAUGUGUCUCGUGAACCAAGCUGUUUUGACAACUUUUUGGGUAGAGUUAGGGUCCUCCCCAAGGAUCCCUUCGGUGGUAAUUGGGGUGUUCUACCAAGAAGUUUAACCCCUAAGAACAUUUUUCUAAUUAUAAUAUUCACUUCAAUUUUUUACACUUAAACAACACUCUAAACUUCACUGACAAGGCCUUAGAACACACUUACUCAAAUGACUAGUUUCCCGACCCUAUAGUCAUUUUUUGUUGUUUGACCUCAAUUCUCUUUAAACUAAAAUUAAAAAUCCAUUAAUCAUCAUUUCUAUCAAGUUCUCAAAUUCAAAAUCACAUGUGAGGCUCGAUUUCUUCCUAUAUAAUUUUUAGGACCGUUACGAUGUUAGGGUAUGCUAACAGUUAGGGUUAUGGUUCCAUUUAAGAACAAAUUACAUGAAAUAAUUGUGUAUCUUGAGAUCUGUGAAAUUGUACAUUGUUCAUAAAUGUUAAAGAUAUUGUAUAUUCAGUAUAUACAUGUGUUUAUAAUCGUGCUUGACUUUCUUAUGUUACACUUAGUAGGAUAGCCGCGUGAUCUUACCACUAAUCUCAGGUUAUGUACUAAUACUAUACUUGCCCUUAUUUUUCUUGAGUACAUGUAAUCUUCAAAUGGCUAUUGACACACCUAACUUAAAAGACCGGUGAACGUUUGAAUUCAAGGGUGAUCCAAUCUUUUGGGCUGGCAUGAGUCCUUCUUUCGUCUCUGUCCACCUUUCAUACUUAGACUUGUUCUAGUUAGUAUUAAUUUAAUAAGCUUAACUUAUACUCCUUUUUUAAAUAUAAUUUAACAAUUUUUAACACAUAGUUUAAUUAUCAUUUUAAAUUUAAUGUUACAAAUCAAUAAAACAUUUGAAACAUAGCAACAUAACUAAACCAAAAUUCUGAACUUCCUGUCAUCUUUGAGAUCAGACUUUUGUUUUUCCUUAAUCCCUAAGUAUUUUAUUCUAUGGAAAUGGAUCAAAAUGUUCUUAAAUUAAGUGAAAUGCAUAAAUUUUAUUCCACCAUUAAUAUUUUGAUCAAAUCAUACCCAUUAUUACUUAAUUUCCCAAAAAUAUCCUUAUUUCUCACCAAACAUAACAAAAAAUGAAUAAGUACAUAUUGGACCUAGUGUUAGAACGAAUGAACAAGAAUGAGAAAAUCACAAGGAAUACAAAAUAAAACAUUCGUGGCUUAAAGGCACAUUAAUACGUCUCUUGAAGAUAGUUGGAGUCUCUCCCACAAGCAAUCCGAAGAAUAAAUAACAAUUCUAUUUUUGGGAUUCAACUAAGCCACAAAACAAGUAGCAUUAAAGAAUGUUUCUCUUCUAUUAUUGAAUUGGUGAUUUCACCUUUUGAUUAAUGUCUCACAAGUGUUUUCAUGGGAAAGUACUUUUAUUUGAAUUCUUAUCUUUUUUAACCAAAAGAAACUCUUUUUAUAGGAUAAACAUUAUGCAAGAUAAAGACUUUUGAUUAAUAUAAUUUAUUAUAGGUUCAUGAAUUUAAAAUAAAGUUAUCUUUCCAAAUUAAUAACGUAGAGCCUCUUACAAAAUCCUAUAACGUAGAAUUAAAACAAAGAAGAAUGUGACAACUCACAUUCAUUAUUUUGUUAUUUUCAAAACUUUUAAUGGAUGAAUUUUAUUUCAAAAUUAAUUGAGGCACUAAUUCUUACAAUCCCCCACUUGUUUCAAGAAAUUUCAUCUUUGAAAAAUCCAAAAAAAAUUUUGAGACAUUAAUCUACAUGCGUCAAUACUGGUGUCUUUUAGACUUGAACCAUUAUCUAGUGAAGGUUUUCUAAAUCAUUGACUACUUAUUAAACAAAUCUUGAAUUAAGUGGUUUAUUGAAUGAAGUUAGAAAAAAAUACUCCACGCAUAUCACUAUAUUCCGGUGAAAAUCAAAAUCCUUUGGCACCUUACGGCCAUGUGUCAUGAAUCCUCUUAGCCAGAAACCUUAAAAAUCUUAUUGAAGCGGUGUCCACUUCGCACUUAGUGCAGUGAAUUCAUCAAGAGUAACUUUGCAUACUUUGACCAAAUAGUCUAUGAACUUCAUUAAGAGAAAAUUAAUCUCAUCCUCCUUUACAACAAAGUAUCGGUAAAUCUAUCAAGAGUAUUCCUAUGCACUCCAAUCGAAAUCGAUUUAUAGACUUAUUAAGAGGAUAUAAUCUCAUCCUUCACUUCAUUAGGAAUAUGAUUAACAUUUAUCAAGAGUUUUCUUACUAACUCCAAACGAGAUCGGUCUUAUAAAUUUAUUAAAAGAAAAGAAUCUCAAUCAUGUACUUCUACUUAUUUCAUUUUAUUUUGAAAAUGAAAGUUUUAUUGAUGUGUGUCACAAUUGUAACUUUAUUUGUUUUUCCCUUUGAACCCAUGAUUACAUCAUCAGGUAGGGUUACGAUAAAGUACAAUCAGUUUCCAACAGGGUUUAUUCCCAUACCAUUAUAGAUUUCAACUACUAACUCUUUGCCUAACCCUUUACACAAAGGAUUCGCUAAAUUAAAAUCUAGACUUUACAUAUUGAAGUGAUAUCACACCUUCCUCCAAUAAUCUCCUCAUAUUAUUUUGUUUGAGACAAACUUGUCUUGACUUGCCAUUAUAGCAGUCACUUGAAGCCCAAAAUAUAGUAGCUUGAUUAUCACAAUAAAUAGUUAAAGGUGGUAUGACUUACUCCAUAAAGGAAUAUCAAUCAACAAAAAUUGUAGCCAUUCAGCUUCUUCUCCAGCAGAAGACAUAGCUAUAAAUUUUGACUCCAUGUUUGAAUGAGUAAUACAUGUCUGAUUCUUUGAUUUCCAAAAGAUCGUUGCUCCAGCCAAAGUGAAAAUCAAAGCAGUAAUAGAUUUAGAGUCAUUCGGUUCAGAAUUCCAAGUAGCACCGCUAUAGCCUUCAAGAACAACAAGAAAUGUAGAGUAAUAUAGGCCAACAUUAAUUGUACCCUCCAAGUAUCUUAAAACACGAAUUAAGGCAUUCCAGUGUUCAACUCCAGGAUUACUAGUAAACUUGCUCAAAGUUCCUACUGUGUAACCAAUAUCAGGUUCGGUACAUAAGACUCCCAACAAUCUCAGAAUAUAUAAGCUGACCAAGAAUAUCACUAGAGUUCCGCAUAAGUUUGAUGCUAGGAUCAAAUGGUGUAGGAGCAGGUUUGACGUCAAAGUGACCAAACCUUUUUAGAAUUUUCCCAAUAUAACUUGAUUGAGUAAGAAUCAAGACAUUCGCCGAUCUCAUGAUUUUAAUGCCCAACAUUACAUAAACUUCUCCAAGAUCUUUCUUUUCAAAUUGAGAAGCUAUAAAUGAUUUUGUUUCUUUGACUCUUUCAAUAUCAGUUCCAAAGAUCAACAUAUCAUCUACAUAGAGACAUAUUAUAACACCUUUUUCUUCUUAAAUUUACUAAAUAUACAAAUAUCGCCACCAUUAAUUAAAUAGCCAUUAGAAAUUAUUACUCUUCUUAAUUUCUCAUUCCGUUGUUUUAGAGCUUGUUUGAUUCCAUAAAGAGAUCUAAGAAGCUUACAAACUUUGUGUUCUUGACGAGGAACGACAAAACAUUCUGGUUGUUUCACGUAAACCUCUUAAUCUAGAUCUCCAUUCAGAAAUGAAAUCUUCACAUCCAUUUGAUGUAUUACCAUACUAUGAAUUACGGUUAAAGCAAUUAAGAGUCGAAUAGAAGUCAAUUGGCUACAGGUGCAAAGGUAUCAAAAUAAUCAAUAUCUUUUGAUAUACCGUUAUUUCACGGUAUUUUUAAUGCUUUUUCCUUAUGUUUAGUGUGUGUCCAAAAGCCUUUUUGAAUUAAUUUUUAUGAAAGUUUCUCUUUAUUUGCACGAAAUCUGUCUAAAGAUGAAUGCAAAAGUUUUUUAGUAAGAAAUGCUAAAAAGUAUCACCUACGGAGCUUUUGACAGUCCAUCGUGCCUGUGACGAUCCGUAGGUGGCAUCGUAGUGAAGCUGCUGAAGGAAGAUGGGGAAGUCUGUGUUAUGCCUCGUAUUUUAUACGUAGUGCGCGUCAUGAACUAGUAGAUGUAAGUCCGGGAAAUGAGAUUUUAUUUUAAGUUCCAAGUGAUUAAAGAAAUAUUAGGCAAGGAUGUUAAUUCCAAAAGUGGUAUUAAGUAUGAUUUGGCUAAUGUAACUGCCAUUAACUUUAAGUGAGAGAUUAAUUAGUGGCUGAUUAGGAUUAAAUUAAUCUAGUGGGCCCCACCACUCAAGGCAAAUUAAAAGGAAUCAGAUUAGGAGCUGGCCUUAGUGGGACACGUGUAGAGGGGGUUUGCCUCCACUUCAUAUUAUAAAUGGGUGGUGAAAUGCAUUGCAACAUACCAUCUUCUUUUCCACUUGGCUUAGGCAGCCAUGGAAAUGGAGAAAACCAACCAUGUAACUCUUGGCCAGCAGUUACAAAGAAUUUGGUCAGUAAUCUCUUUGCUUGGUGUGUUAAUUCCUUAGAAUACCUUUGGUAAUUAGCCAUAAUGUUAAGAAGGGGGCGUAACCAAUAGCUUAGGAAGUUUUUUUUAGUUAUUGAAUGUGCUAAGUAUGAACGGAAACCAUAAUCGAAUUAUUAGUGGUGUCGUGUUAGUGUUUGGGCUGUUUUGAUUAAAGCAAACUGCGGGAAAUUUUGUUUUGGUGUUAUGUAUAUGUUAAUGUGAUUAUGGGUAUAUACUCCAAAGGAUGAAUACGAUAAGGUAGAUGUGUUUGCGAAUUAUAAAACAUGUUAUCGCUCGGUGUGUCGUUGCUUCGUUACUAUAGUUGCCGAGACGGAACUGUUUUGGGGGGGGGGGUCUGUUUAAUAUGAUUCGUUGGGAUAUAUGUGUUAUUGGUAUUGUUGUGAAUAAUUUGGGUUGUUGUCGGAUUGGGACGAAGUAAGGAAAACAGGGGAAGUGCUGCCAGAUUUUUGUUAGAUCAUUAACUAGCUUACAUAAGUAGUAAAGCGCGACGUUUCUCUGAUUGCGGCACGAUUGUAGCUUGUUAUUGAUUAAUAGCUUGAGCAAUAAAUAUUGGACGUGAGGCUCGGCUAUACGGUAUGUAAAGCUAUCUUUACUUUCUUUGGUUGGCACGACUUUUAAAAAUGAGAGAAUAACGGACAGGUUUGAUACUUACUUCUAGAGCGUCUAGGUGACAUAUAUUCUUGCCUCCACAACUAUUCCUCUAUAUAUCGGCCAUGUCUAAGGCUAUGAUGAUUUCUCAUAUCUAUGGUAGUGCUUGUUAGAGUCAUUGAGAUUUUAUGUUUCCAUAUCGUAUUAAAGGUUCAAAUACUUGAUACAACGUUAAUAUUUGGUAAUACUCCUUGCUGGUUCACGUUGAUUGUUCUAUUGAGUUAUAAGAAAUGAUUUUAAUUGCAUAUGGUUGGUCAGAAUAUUCUGCUCGUGCAUAGAGUCAUUUAUCAUUUCACCGAGUCCCGAGUCGGGUAAUGUUCGUACGGAGUUUCUAGCAUAUGUCACCGAGUCCCUCACUAGAGGGCAGGGUAUGUAUUUUAUAUAUAUGAUUGGUGAUGAGGAUGGUUAUGAUGAUGAUGAUGACGGAGAUGAUGUGAUGACUAUUUCACCGAGUCCCUCACUAGACGGCCGGGUACAUAUGAUGUAUAUAUAUGAUGAUUAUUUUGCCGAGUCCAUUACUAGGGAAGCUAGGCACCUUAUAUGUUAAAGAUAUGCAUGAUUUUCACUUAAAAGGUACAUGUGUUGCGAUAUCUUGUUUCGAAUUUUCAUGUUGGUAUCCUGUCAUCUUUCCCUUAUGCUUUACAUACUCAGUACAUUGUCCAUACUGACCCCCUUUCCUCGGGGGGCUGCGUUUCAUGCCCGCAAGUGUAGACGCACAGUUCGGUGAUCCUCCCGCCUAGGAUAUCUACUCUGCUGAUUGGGAGAGCUCCACUGUUUCGGAGCCCAGUCAUUUUGGUACGUAACUUUUUGUGUAGUCUUUUGCUUGUCUAUGGGUAUGGCGGGGCCCUGUCCCGUCGAGUUUCACUGCUAUCCUCUUAGAGGUCUGUAGACAUUAUGUGGGUUGCAAUAUGUUUUGGAUAACAGGAAGCUACAGGACAUUUAGGAUGUCAUCCUUCCUUCUUAUUCUAGAUCGUGCGAUAGAGCUAUAUAAAUAGGAUAAUCCCUAUCUAACGAAGUCUAUACUGUCGAACGCUCCUGCCAUUUUGCUUCAAAUGGAAGAAUCUAUCGACUCUAGCUCGCUUCAUCUCUGGAGGCAGGAAGUGGCCCUGGAAAGCCUCCACAAAUUCAUCCCAUACCGUUGGAGGAGCACCCUCACCCCUAGAUAACUUCCAAGACUCAUACCAAUUAAUAGCUACAUCCCGCAAAUGAUACGUAGCCAACUCAACAGACUAGAUCUCCGAAGCCUUGAGUAUCCUCAAUGUACGCUGCAUCUAACGAAUAAACUCUUGCGGAUCAUCCUGCGGCCUUGACCCAAAGAACUCUGGAGGAUUACAACUUAAGAAGUCACGAGCCCUUAAGCUAUCAGAUCUGUUCGCAUGAUCAACUCCUAGUCCAUCCCUGCGAGCCUGACCUGCCACUAAUCUAGUCAGCAACUGAAUCGCAUCUCUCAUGGCCCUAUCCUCCACCCCUGUCUGAGGAGCUGGAGGUUCAGGUGCUGGGGCCUCGGGGGCUGGUGGUGUCCCACGAACUGGAGCUGCUGCUGCUCUAAGCUCCUUUGGCGGUGGCAGUGUAGCAGAGCUCUCCGACUGGAGCAUAAUACUAGACAUAGACUGGGCACGGGCCCUAGUAACUCUCCGGGUCUGACUAGUACCUUCUACUACCGAUUUGCCCUUCUGGGCGGCUGUCGCUUUCUUUGGAGGCAUAGCUGAAAACACACGGAUUCGUUAGAGAGGGAUUAUCCUGUUAAUAUAGCUCUAUCGCACGAUCUAGAAUAAGAAGAAAGAAUGACAUCCUAAAUGUCAUGUAGCUUCCUGUUUAUAAAUGUGGUGCACAACCCACCGAUAAAGAAGACUCUACUAGACACGGUCUAUAGACACUUUCGAGGAAGAACCGCUCUAAUACCACUCUUUGUGACGACCCAACCCUAUGGGCCGUGACUAGUGCGCGUUUUGGACAUCCACAUAAAAACAUGCUAAGUAUAACCAACUGAAACUAAGACAAUAUGGAAUUUAAUCAAAUCAAGCCAACCCCAACGUCAUAUAUAUAUAAAGAGGACCUGUCUCAUAAGGAGUCAUAACCAUUCAACCGUAACAACAUACGCGAGCCGAAAAUGCCGCCACUAUCCAAAGCAUAAUAACAUACGUAAGCCGACAAGGCUGCUACUACACAAUACACAAUGAUGUACGCAGCCGACUAGGCUGCCCCUGUACAAGAGGACAUCCCAAACAUAUCAUGUCCAGACCAUUAUCCAAAACAUAUAUAUACACCCCACAUAAUGUCCACAAACCUCUAAGAGUACACUAGUGAAACUCGAUGGGACAGGGCCCCGCCAUACCCAUAGACGAGCAAAAGACUACACAAAAAGUUAUGUACCAAAACGACUGGGCUCUGGAACAGUGGAGCUCUUCCAAUCAGCAUAGUAGAUAUCCUAGGUGGGAGGAUCACCGAACUGUGCGUCUACAUCUGCGGGCAUGAAACGCAGCCCCCCGAGGAAAGGGGGUCAGUACGGACAAUGUACUGAGUAUGUAAAGCAUAAUGUAAAGAUGACAGGAUACCAGUAUGGCAAGUCGAAAAAAAAUAUUGCUACACAUGUACCCUUUUAAGUGAAAAUCAUGCAUAUCUUUAACAUAUAAGGUGCCCAGCUUCCUUAGUAAGGGGCUCGACAAAAUAAUCAUCACCUCAUCUCCGUCAUCAUCAUCAUCAUAACCAUCCUCAUCACCAAUCAUAUAUAUAAUAUAUAUACCCGGCCCUCUAGUGAGGGACUCAGUGACAUAUGCAAGAAAUUCCGCACGAACAUUACCCGGCCCGGGACUCGGUGAAAUGAUAAAUGACUCUAUACAGGAGCAGAAUAUUAUGAGCAACCACAUGCAAUUAAAAUCAUUUCUUAUAACUCAAUAGAACAAUCAACGUGAACCAGCAAGGAGUACCAAAGAUUAACGUUUUAUCAAGAUUAUGAACCUUUAAUACGAUAUGGAAACGUAAAAUCUCAAUGACUCUAAGAAGCACUACCAUAGAUAUGAGAAAUCAUCAUAGCUUUAGACAUAGCCUAUAUAUAGAGGAAUAAUUGUGGAAGCAAGAAUAUACGUCACCUAGACGCUCUAGAGGUAAGUAUCAAACAUGUCCGUUAUUCCCUUAUUUUUAAAAGUCAUGCCAAACAAAGAAAGAAGGGACAGCGUUACAUACCGUAUAGUCUAGCCGAACGUCCAAUAUUUACUGCUCAAGCUAUUAAUCUAUAACAAGAAACAAUCGUGCCGCAAUUAGAUAAACGUCGCGCUAUACUAUCUUGUAAGCAAGCUAAUAAUCUAACGAAAAUCCGGCAGCACUUCCCCUAUUUUCCUUACUUUGUCCCAAUCCGACAACAACCCAAAUUAUCCACAGCAAUACCAAUAACACAUAUAACCCAACGAAUCAUAUUAAACAUCCCCCUCCCCAAAACAGUUCCGUCUCGACAACCAUAGCAGCGAAGCAACGACACACCGAGCGAUAACUCGUUUUAUAAUUCGCAACACAUCUGCCUUAUCGUAUUCAUUCUUUGGAGUAUAUACUCAUAAUCACAUUUAACAUAUACAAAGUGCCAACACAGAAUUUUCCCGCAGUUUGCUUUAAUCAAAACAGCCCAAGCACCAACACGACACCACUAAUAAUCCGAUUAUGGUUUCCGUUCAUACUUAGAACAUUCAAUAACUAAAACAAACUUCCUAAGCUACUGGUCACGCCCCCAUCUUAGUAUUAAUGGAUAAUUAACAAGUUAUUCUAAAGAAUUAACACAUUAAGCAAGGAGAUUACUAACCAAAUUAUUUGCAGCUGCUGGCCAAGAGUUCCAGGGUUGGUUUCUCCAUUUCCAUGGCUGCCUAAGCCAAGUGGUGAAGAAGAUGAUAUGCAGCAAUGCAUUUCACCACUUUAUUUAGAAUGGAGUGGAUUUCUCAACCUCAUUUAUAAUAUGAAGUGGAGACAGCCCCCCUUUACACGUGUCCACUAAGGCCAGCUCCCAAUCUGAUCCCUUUUUAAUUUUUGCCUUGACUGGUGGGGCCCACUAGAUUAAAUUAAUCCUUAUCAGCCACUAAUUAUGAGUGGUGGGGCCCACUAGAUUAAAUUAAUCCUAAUGAGCCACUAAUUAAUUCCUCACUUAAAGUUAAUGGAACUUACAUUAGCCAAAUCAUACUUAAUAUCACUUUUGGAAUUAACAUCCUUGCCUAAUAUUUCUUUAAUCACUUGGAACUUGAAAUAAAAUCUCAUUCCACGGACUUACGUCUACUAGAUCAUGAUGCGCACUACGUAUAAAAAAUGCGAGGCAUAACACACGGCCCCCAGAAUACUACAGAGGCUAUGGUAAUAUAGCAGACUCCGAUGGGCCACUUGUCUUGCCCCCUCAACCAUCAAGCCACACCUUUGUGGUAACUAGUAGCCUGAUGCAAAUGCUCACUGCCAGAGGUUUGUUUUUAGGGAUACCUUCUGAGGAUCCAAAUGCCCACAUAGCUAAGUAUGGGCAGUGUGUAAAAGUUGUGUAGGGUGGCCUGACUUGGACUUGGAUGUAAUAGGGCUAAGAGUGUUUCCUCUCUCACUGACGGGAGAGGCUGCUAUUUGGUUCACUGAGCUCCCUUAUAACUGAAUUUUUACUUGGAACCAACUAAGGGAUGUUUUCAUAGCACGCUACUACCCGGUCUCCAAGAAACUGAACCACAAAGACAGAGUGAACAACUUUGUGGCACUACCAGGAGAGUCAGUUAAUAGUUCUUGGGAUAGAUUCACCUCAUUUUUUAGAAGCGUCCCAAAUCACCGUAUAGAUGAUGAGUCACUGAAGAAAUACUUCUAUCGGGGACAGGAUGAUAAUAAUAAAGCGGUGUUGGAUACUAUAGUAGGUGGUUCUUUUGGGAGUGUCCUUAUGCUGAGAUUGCCGAAAAGUUAGAUAAAAUCUCUCGAAACAAUAAAGCUUGGAGUACUAGACAAUCAGAUACUGGGAGAAAUACCUUCGCAGUACAAUCCACUCACAACCCAGCCACAGAUGAGAUUCAUGAAGAAAUGGCUCAGAUGAGAACUGAGCUUGGGUUGGUAUUAAAACAUAUCACUGGGGUGCGAAAAAGAUAAAUGCAGUUAACUACUUGUCUAUACCACCACCCACAAAUGUUGAAUGCUAUUAUGCGGAGGAUUUCUAUGCGGUAAACGAGUAGACGGGGGGUUUCCAACUGAGUGCCCAAGGCUCAAAUCAGGAGAAUUGGCGCUAAAGUCAAGGAAACCAAGGUCGGAUAUAUGGUAACUAUAACCAUGAGGGUCAUUAUGUCCGAGAUGGAAACUAUAACCGCGACAACAACUUCAACAGGGGUAACUAUGGUAACAGAAAUAAUAGGAAUGGGCUCUAUGUCCCUCCUCAAAAUCAUGAAGUUACUCCUAGGGAUAGUGGAGGUAGUAUGGCGCGAGUUGAGGAUAUGUUGCACAAGAUGAUGAGGAGGUUCAAUGCUAAUGAUGAGCACCUUAAAGAGAGUUAACAAGUGAUUUAGCGGGUAUUGGGCAUAAAGUCGAUACACAUGCAAUAUCGAUUAAGAAGAUCGAGUUGCAAAUGGACCAAUUAUCUACGACUGUGAACACAUGGCAACUGGGCACUCUUCCUAGAAAUACAGUCCAAAAUCGAAAAAAUGAUGCACACUGUAUGACAAUCAUUACUCAGGGUGGUAAGAAAACCAUUGACCCACCUAUGCCGUUUAAUGAGGAAAUGGUGAGAAAGGGUAAUGAUAAGGUGGUAGAGGGUAGUGGUGAAGUAGAAGAUAGCACUGGAAAAGAUGCUGAAGUACCUAUAAAGGUAAUUCCCAUGCCUAGACCACCACCCCCUUUCCUCAAAGAUUAGUGAAAAAGACUGAGGAAGGUAAAUAUCAGCGUUUUAUAAAAAUGUUGAAGCGGCUUUCUAUCAAUGUCUCUUUGGUAGAAGCUCUAGCACAAAUGCCCGGUUAUGCCAAGAUUAUGAAAGAUGUUAUUACAAAGAAAAGAUCGGACACUUUCAAGGAUGAUUAUAGAAUGCAACAUUGUAGUGCUAUUGUUACAAGAUCUCUCGUACAAAAGAAAGAAGAUCUUGGUGCAUUCACUAUUCCUUGUAUAAUCGGUUCAUUACAUUUUGCGAAAGCAUUAUGUGAUAUGGGGCAAGCAUAAAUCUCCUGCCCCUCUCUACUUACAAGAAGCUGGGUUUGGGUGACCCAAAGCCCACUGCGAUAAGGCUACUGAUGGCCGAUCGAACAGUGAAAAGGCUUAUAGGGAUACUCCACGAUGUGCUAGUAAAAGUGGAGUCGUUCAUAUUUCCAACAGAUUUUGUUAUCAUUGAUUGUGAAGUCGAUUUUGUAGGUCCAUGAGGCAGAGUGGUGAGCUCCAAUCAGUAUCUGCUAUACUCUACAAAGAAAAGAUGAAGAAGGAUUAUGACCUAAAAAGUGGAAAACAAGAGUUUAUGGUUGGGGUUGUGUUGACUUACGGGCAAGCUCAAGUCCAAAUGGACUGGCACUUACUUGAUUACCCAAUUAUUCCCUCAUGGAGCAGUUGAGUUAGAAAUCAAGGAGGGAGUGAGGUUUAAAUGGAGAAUGAAUAAAACUCUAUUUUGGGCAUACUUAAUCGGCAAAUAAAGUGAUCGAGGCAUACCAUCUUGACGAAGGAUGAGUGAUCAAGUGUCCUCAGUCAUGCCGCGAUGUUAAAUCAGGCGCUCGUUGGGAGGCAACCCAACACUUAUAGUAUUUAUUUCUAGUAAUGAUAGCAUUUUCUACUAAUGGUUUUUAAAUUUGUAGGCACAUCACCAGGAAAUUCUGCAGAAAAUAACUCUGCAGCAAAAACUGAUGGACCCAUCGAUGACCCGUCACAAACGUGACGGACCAUCACAUGAAUCCAUCGUGCAGGUAUGUCUUUCAGUUAUUUUAAAAACUAGGGCACACGCGAUGGAACAAAUGACAGAGCGUCGCAAUUGCGAUGGAGCGUCAUCGGGAAUCAUCGCGUCAUUAAUGAGCUUACCCGACCCGACCCGGUUGGGAACUUUUAAAAAAUUUCAACCUAUAAAACCCCCCACCCCUUCAUUUGAAAGGUUUUUCCCUCUUUCUCCCAUUCCCUCCCUCUUAAAAUUCCCACUUCCUACCUCUCUUUCAACCGAUCAUUUCCCCAAAUUCCCCAAUUCCUAAAAUCCACUCUUUACUAAGCGGAGUCUGCUGUUGUUGUUCUCUUCCUUAUAACUAAGAACUUUCCUCGCUUGUUUUUCUCAAAUUCUCAUGUAUGUGUCUCUGAUUUCUACCCAUUUACAUUGCAUUUUUGUUUAUCAAUUAGUAUUAGCCUAUUUCUUAUUGAUGGUUCAUUCUUUAAUACAAAUUAUGUCUGACCUAGGUUGAGAAUCCUCAAAAUUGCCUUGUUAAAACACUAGAAAUAGAUGCUUUAGCAUUACUAGUUUACUAGGUAUUUGGGUUAGACACAUGUAGGUUAAACACUAAAAAUUCCAUUUGGGUCAUAGUGGAUGAUUGUGGCAUCCCUAAAUCUAUCACUGAAUGACAAAAUGAGACUCCGAUAACAGACCGUCGUACCCACGAUGGACCGUCAUAGGGUCCGUCCAACAUCCCUAACACCCCACUGUCCAAUUUUCUCUAAGUGUCCACCAACGGACACAUGUGAUGGACCAUCGUUCCCACGAUGGUCCAUCCUGCACAACCGUUCUGGUUAUAAGAGACCCUAUUCCUAAGGGUCUCUCACUUUUUCUAAGUAUCCUACAAUGGACACAUGCGACGGAUCGUCAUUCCCACGAUGGUCCGUCAUGCACAACCGUUCUGGUUGUCAGAGACCCUACUCCUAAGGGUCUCUCACUUUUUUUAAGUGUCCUUGUACAGACAUAUACGCCGGACCGUCAUACCCUCGACGGUCCAUCCUGCACAAUCGUUCUGGUUGUCAGAGACCCUGUUCAUAAGGGUCCCAACUUUUUCCAAGUGUCCUCUUAGGGACAUAUACUACGGACCAUCAUACCCUCGACGGUCCAUCCUACAUAACCGUCAUGACGGUCAGAGACCCCUCUCCUAAGGGUCUCCAACUUUUUCUUAGUGUCCUCUUACAAAUAUCUACGACGGACCGUCAUACCCUCGACCAUCCGUCCUGCACAAAUUGUCAUUACGGUCAAAGACCCCUCUCUAAGGGUCCCCAUACAUGUUCUAAGUGUUCCGUGACGGACAUCGAUGACGGACCGUCAUCAUCACGACGGUGCGUCCUGCUUAUCUAUCAUAACUGUCAGAGACUUUCCUUCAGGGUCUUCUUAUAAACAUAGUUUUAAGUAAGACAUGACGGACCCCAUGACGGUCCGUCGUACUCACGAUGAACCGUCACCUGGUCCGUCGUGUUUCACUGUUACUAUAGAAAAGUCAAUACAACUUAGCUCUUAUAUUUAUUUUGUUUUGUUUUUGCUCGUCUUGUUCGCUCCUUCUUGUACUAAUAUUGAUUCUUUACAGAAACUAUCUACUAUGGCACCAAAACAAGAUCGAGUUUAUGCACGUAGGUGAUCAAAGUUUGUCGCCCCAUCUUCCCGCCUGGUCAUUGGCUCUGAUGAUGAGCGUGACCCCGAGUACGUGCCCGCAAGCACUUCCACUCCAUCCCGAGAUGCCCGUGCUGCUAGAGCCACAUCCAAAAAGGUGGCGUCUAACGUAGUCACUGACUCUCAGUCUGAUGAGGAGUGCACACUGAUCGACACACCUUCUGGGUCAGCUACUCAUAAAGAAGGAGCGUCUGGCUCAUUAGGAGUUUCGUAAUCGGAGGAAGCCUGCGGAUCUACUGAAGUCCCUGCACCCGCCAUAGCUGCACAGUCUUCCUCGUUUGAUGAGGCUGACAGUUGUGAAUCCACUCCCGGUUCACCAACUCGUGCUCUCACCCCAGUUGCCGAUCAGCCCAACCGGUGGUGUGUCGACGGGCAAUAUCAAGUUUAUUCAGACACAAAGUUUCUGAAUGAGAAAGGAGUCAUGACACGGACCAUUACAUUGGAGAGGCGGGUCCUUAUGGGAAGUCUCCCUACUAUGCCAGAGAUCCACAAUCUCUUAACCAGACACCGACUAGCACAUUGAUCAGCUCAAGACCCUGCUCGGCACUAUUGAGAUCGGCCUCAUCAGGGUUGAGGCAAAUGAGUUGGCUCCAUGCAGGGGGCCCCGUCCAGAGUUGCCUCCACUUGGUUACAAUCUGACUGAUACGGUAGCACAGGAUCGCACGGCUACGCAAGCUGCUUCUAAAACCACUGAAACUACCCCGGUCGAGUCUAUCCCAGGUAGUAGCAUUGCCCCGAGCUCCUCUCGCUGAACCCCUUUCCCUGCUUUGGCCCUGCUUUCUAAGGUCUAGAAAUUAGAGGCACAGAUGGCUACACUUCUGCAUCACAUCUAGCCUUGGAUGUAGAGGACUAUUGCUGAGGUAGAAGAGCGCUUGGAGCGGAGAAUGGUCCUGCACACAGAGCGGAAGAUCGCUGAGGUUCAUCAGCGCUUGGACGCUUUUGAGUUGAGGGUGCUAGCCGGGACAGCCCCUCAGGUGGAUGUGUCAACCCUUCAGGCUGCGGUCAAGAGUCUUCGUGCAGAUAUUGAUAUGAUUCUAGAGUCUAGGGUGCCUGAGUAUGAGGCCCUUCUAUAGAGCCUAUUGAGGACACAGUGAUGGCGGCUUUAUUCGCCAGUUCUGAGAUUCCACCACCUCCCCUCCAGAGAAUGCCAAGAGGCAUAGGGGUCGAGACGAGGAUGAGGCUAGAGCACGGUAGAUGGAGGGCUUUGAGAUGGAGGCUGCGAGGAGAGCCUCGCUUGCUGAUGAGGAGUCGCGUUGGAUGAGGGCUGUAGAGGUAGCUGCUGGGCAUCUAGCUCCAGAAAUGUGAAAAUAGCGGGAGGCACUGCUGAUAGUGAUGUUGCUGAUGAGGACACUACUGAGGGUGUCCAGAUUACAGAGGUAGUGGGUUCCGGGCGACCGAACCCACCAGCUUGCUGAUUGUCGGCGCUUUGCGCCCCAGGUUUGCUUCACCUACCACUUUCGUAUUUCAAUUUUUGUAUGCAUUGGGGACAAUUGCAUGUAUUUUUUUUUGGUGGUGGGUUAAAUUAAAAGUGAGUGCUAGGGUGAAGUCUGAGUAGCCCAAUUCACUAUCCUCUUUUGGGGUUUUCUUGCCUGUGAUCUUUUUCCCCAAGAGACUGAUUAUUUUUACUGUUGAACCGGCAUGUCUAUAUCUUGUGUACAUAGUUUAACUCUGAAGCAUGAUGGAUAAAAUGAUAUCCUAAUGAAAUGAAAAUGAUGCAUGACUAGGCAUAGUAAUUGAUAAAUGUGUGGCUCUAAGAAUGACAUAGAGAUACACCACUACAUGACCCUAAGUCUAAAAUUCAAACUAGGUGUCUGAUAAUCUGGUAGAGUUAUGAGAUGUCAAGUGAGUGUGAGGAAGAUUUGAAUAGUCCACUAUUUGUACUGAGCUAGAACUUGCCUGGUUAGUCCUGCUAAAAGUAAGCUAUAAUAGACAAUUAAAAAAGGAUCAUAGGCCCUUGUUCAAUAUAGCCCAUUUUUAGCCUAAAUAAAAAAAACAAAUGAAUUUAAUCCUUCUUUGACCCAAAUGAUUUGAGCUUAAACUAGACCUUUCUUUUUCACCCCAAUUGAUCUUUUAUGGGAAUAAUGUGUUGGCCCUGGUCCCUCCUUGGACAUGUGCACCUUAGCUUAUGCCAAAAGCAUAAGUUGAGAGUGGCUAAUGCCGUAAAUACCCUCUUUAUGGCCCAGCCCAACUUUGGGUAUUGUGUACUUUGACUAAUGGCAAAGCCUCUAUUAUCAGGAAUGCUCUGGAAAGUGGAGUUGAAAGAACAAAGAGAGAGAAAGAGCAAAAGUAAAGUGACUCAAGAACCAGUUGAAAGAAAAGUGAAAUUAAAAAAACAUAAAAAAAUAAAAAAAUAUAAUAAAUACAAGCAAGAAAAUAGGAGAGUCACUUACACAAAUGAAGAAAGAAGGGAAAAUAGCAAGGUUAAAGGAUAUGAGAAACUGAGCGAAAUAAAAUUAUAAAAAGUAGUAUGUUCAGCCGAUAUGUCAAGGAGGGCAAAAAGUCACUAAAGUAUACCUAAAUAUACCCUACCUGACCAUGAGCCUAUGUUACAAGCUAAAAAAGUCCUAUAGUGAUGUUAAAAGUUGUAUAGAGAACUUAAAGUAGUGAAAAUAAGGGCAAACUUAUGGAAAUAUGUAUGAUUGAGUUGUGAAUCUGUUCUGAGAGUCAGUGUUGAAAAGUAAUCCUUAUACUCAAACUAAAAUCAUUGUGUGAAAAAUGAGGAUAUUGUUUUGAAGUGAGGUACUAGUUGCAAUACCGAAAAUAUUAGCACCUCGGCGAGAAAUUGAAGAGGAUAGGUGUUAGUGUGUGGUGAGUUUGUGUCAUGGUCUGAUUCCACAUAAUUCAAGCCUAAUAGUGAUAGCAUGCAUAAAUAUGAUGAGAAUGAUCAGGAUUGAUAGCCAAAUGAUUGCGACAGAUAAGACAUGGAUACUAUUUACAAAGAUUUUGUAAUGAGUCAUAGUGCGUCGCUUGAGGACAAGCAACAAAUUUAAGUUGAGGGUGUUGAUAUACCGUGGUUUCACGGUAUUUUUAAUGCUUUUUCCUUAAGUUUAGUGUGUGUCCAAAAGCCUUUUUGUAUUAAUUUUUAUGUAAGUUUCUCUUUAUUUGCAGGAAAUCCGUCUAAAGAUGAAUGCGAAAGUUUUUGAGUAAGCAAUGCAGAAAAGUAUCACCUACGGAGCUUUUGACAGUCUGUCGUGCCUGUGACAAUCCCUAGGUGGCAUCAUAGUGAAGCUGCUGAAGGAAGAUGGGGAAGUCUUUGUUAUGCCUCGUAUUUAAUACGUAGUGCGCGUCAUGAACUAGUAGAUGUAAGUCCGGGGAAUCAGAUUUUAUUUUAAGUUCCAAGUGAUUAAAGAAAGAUUAGGCAAGGAUGUUAAUUCAAAUUUGGUAUUAAGUAUGAUUUGGCUAAUGUAAGGGCCAUUAAUUUUAAGUGAGAGAUUAAUUAGUGGCUGAUUAGGAUUAAAUUAAUCUAGUGGGCCCCACCACUCAAGGAAAAUUAAAAGGAAUCAGAUUAGGAGAUGGCCUUAGUGGGACACGUGUAGAGGGGGGUUGCCUCCACUUCAUAUUAUAAAUGGGUGGUGAAAUGCAUUGCAACAUACCAUCUUCUUCACCACUUGGCUUAGGCAGCCAUGGAAAUGGAGAAAACCAACCAUGCAACUCUUGGCCAGCAGUUGCAAAGAAAUUGGUUAGUAAUCUCUUUUCUUGGUGUGUUAAUUCCUUUGAAUACCUUUGUUAAUUAACCAUUAAUGUUUAAGAAGGAGGUGUGACCAGUAGCUUUGGAAGUUUAUUUUAGUUACUGAAUGUGCUAAGUAUGAACGGAAACCAGAAUCGGAUUAUUAGUGCUGUCGUGUUAGUGUUUGGGCUAUUUUUAUUAAAGCAAACUGCGGGACAUUUUGUUUUGGCGUUAUGCAUAUGUUAAUGUGAUUAUGGGUAUAUACUCCAAAGGAUGAAUACGAUAAGGUAGAUGUGUUGCAAAUUAUAAAACAAGUUCUCGCUCGGUGUGUCGUUGCUUCAUUACUAUGGUUGCCGAGACGGAACUGUUUUGGGGGGGGGGCGCUUUUUAAUAUGAUUCGUUGGGAUAUAUGUGUUAUUGGUAUUGCUAUGGAUAAUUUGGGUUGUUGUCGGAUUGGGACGAAGUAAGGAAAAUAGGGGCAGUGCUACAGGAUUUUCGUUAGAUUAUUAGCUCACUUACAAUAGGUAGUAAAGCGCGACGUUUAUCUAAUUGCGGCACGAUUGUUGCUUGUUAUAGAUUAAUAGCUUGAGCAGUAAAUAUUUGACGUGCGGCUCGACUAUACUGUAUGUAACACUAUCCUUUCUUUCUUUAUUUGGCAUGACUUUUAAGAAUGAGCGAAUAAUGGACAGGUUUAAUACUUACUUCUAGAUCGUCUAGGUGACAUAUAUUCUUGGUUCCACAACUAUUCCUCUAUAUAUCGGCCAUGUCUAAGGCUAUGAUGAUUUCUUAUAUCUAUGGUAGUGCUUCUUAGAGUCAUUGAGAUUUUACGUUUCCAUAUCGUAUUAAAGGUUCAUAAUCUUGAUAAAACGUUAAUUUUUGGUAAUACUCCUUGCUGGUUCACGUUGAUUGUUCUAUUGAGUUAUAAGAAAUGAUUUGUCAUUUAUCAUUUCACCGAAUCCCGGGCCUGGUAAUGUUCGUGCGGAGUUUCUUGCAUAUGUCACCGAGUCCCUCACUAGAGGGCCGGGUAUGUAUAUUAUAUAUAUGAUUGGUGAUGAGGAUGCUUAUGAUGAUGAUGAUGACGAAGAUGACGUGAUGAUUAUUUUGCCAAGUCCCUUACUAGGGAAUCUGGGCACCUUAUAUGUUAAAGAUAUGCAUGAUUUUCACUUAAAAGGGUGCAUGUGUAGCGAUAUUUUGUUUCGACUUGCCAUAUUGGUAUCCUGUCAUCUUUACCUUAUGCUUUACAUAAUUAGUACAUUGUCCGUACUGACCCCCUUUUCUUGGGGGGCUGCGUUUCAUGCCCGCAGGUGUAGACGCACAGUUCGGUGAUCCUCCUGCCUAGGAU